Non-coding RNA from Cherax quadricarinatus, 4499 nucleotides. NCBI's taxonomy places the organism in Eukaryota, Metazoa, Arthropoda, Malacostraca, Decapoda, Parastacidae. The record is from RefSeq and is a predicted model, not a curated record.
AUGAGGAAAUUAAAUCUUCAUCAGAGUACAAAACAAAUUCUGGCCACAAAAUAGAGCGAAACACCAACGUCAAAGACCUGGGAGUGAUUAUGUCGGAGGAUCUCACCUUCAAGGACCAUAACAUUGUAUCAAUCGCAUCUGCUAGAAAAAUGACAGGAUGGAUAAUGAGAACCUUCAAAACUAGGGAGGCCAAGCCCAUGAUGACACUCUUCAGGUCACUUGUUCUAUCUAGGCUGGAAUAUUGCUGCACUCUAACAGCACCUUUCAAGGCAGGUGAAAUUGCCGACCUAGAAAAUGUACAGAGAACUUUCACGGCGCGCAUAACGGAGAUAAAACACCUCAAUUACUGGGAGCGCUUGAGGUUUCUAAACCUGUAUUCCCUGGAACGCAGGAGGGAGAGAUACAUGAUUAUAUACACCUGGAAAAUCCUAGAGGGACUAGUACCGAACUUGCACACGAAAAUCACUCGCUACGAAAGCAAAAGACUUGGCAGACGAUGCACCAUCCCCCCAAUGAAAAGCAGGGGUGUCACUAGCACGUUAAGAGACCAUACAAUAAGUGUCAGGGGCCCGAGACUGUUCAACUGCCUCCCAGCACACAUAAGGGGGAUUACCAACAGACCCCUGGCAGUCUUCAAGCUGGCACUGGACAAGCACCUAAAGUCAGUUCCUGAUCAGCCGGGCUGUGGCUCGUACGUUGGUUUGCGUGCAGCCAGCAGCAACAGCCUGGUUGAUCAGGCGCUGAUCCACCAGGAGGCCUGGUCACAGACCGGGCCGCGGGGGCGUUGACCCCCGAAACUCUCUCCAGGUAAACUCCAGGAAUGCCCGGUCUGUGGUGCCGAUGACCAUUCUAAUACGUCUUGCAAUCGACCUCCCUCUUGCCUUAAUUGUCAUGAGGCUCACCGUUCAUACUCUCGCCGUUGCCAAGUCUACUUAAAUGAGCGGUAAAUUCGUUACCUCAAAGAGGCAGCAGGUCUCCCUUAUGCCAUGGCAGUUUCUCAUCUCCGCCUCCAAGGGAGACUACCUCCAGUUUCUUAUUCCCGUGUUUCAAAACGUUCCCCCACUUCCGGGGUCCCAUCUUCUGAAGCCUCCUCUGUGGUUACCUCUCCCAUAGUCACUCCUGUAUCUAAUUCUUUUGCUGUCCUGGGCUCAGACGUCCCUACUUCAACGCCUCAGUCUGUUCUCGCUUCUUCGUGUUCUCCCUCACAAGCCUUGGUAUCGACGAGAUCUCGUUGGCAGCAACGAGAUCUCGUUGCUGCCAACACCCGUUGGCAGCAACGUUGGUCUACUAUGCUCGGCAACAAACUUCAAUCUAUUAAACUGAGUAUAGGUUACUGGCCGUCUUCUUAUCACCAGUGUUGAGGUUGGGAGACUACUCUCUCCCAUCUUCGCAUUGGCCAUACUCAUCUUACUCAUGGAUAUCUCAUGGAGAGGUGCCCUGCUCCUCUCUGUGAGAAUUGCCAAGCUUCAUUAUCAGUCAGCCACAUUCUGUUGGACUGCCCACUUUAUCAACGAGCACGCAGAAUUUACCUCCGUCGUCGUCUUCGCUCCACUGCUCUCUGUUUACCUUCCCUUCUCGCUGAUGGACCCACCUUUCAUCUGGACUCUCUCAUUGACUUUUUGACAACAACUGACUUACUUCACAAACUCUGAUACCUUCAGCCCUUUCUACCUCAAUCUCUUGCUACCCUCUACCCCCGCACUAUCCCCUGCCCCACUGUUUUCUGUAACCUACUGAUCAUCCCUCCCCCUGUCUGCCAUCCAAUACCCUCGCUUCCUUCCCUACCCUGCAGCGCUGUAUAGCCCUUGUGGCUUAGUGCUUCUUUUUUAUUAUAAUAAUAAUUAUCAUCAUUAUUUUAUGCCUUGACCUAGGAAAUGUACAGAGAACCUUCACGGCACGCAUAACGGAGAUAAAACACCUCAAUUACUGGGAGCGCUUGAGGUUCCUGAACCUGUAUUCCCUGGAAUGCAGGCGGGAGAGAUACAUGGUUAUAUACACCUGGAAAAUCCUAGAGGGACUAGUACCGAACUUGCACACGAAAAUCACUCACUACGAAAGCAAAAGACUUGGCAGACGAUGCAACAUCCCCCCAAUGAAAAGCAGGGGUGUCACUAGCACGUUAAGAGACCAUACAAUAAGUGUCAGGGGCCCGAGACUGUUCAACUGCCUCCCAGCAUACAUAAGGGGGAUUACCAAUAGACCCCUGGCAGUCUUCAAGCUGGCAAUGGACAAGCACCUAAAGUCGGUACCUGACCAGCCGGCUGUGGCUCGUACGUUGGAUUGCGUUCAGCCAGCAGUAACAGCCUGGUUGAUCAGGCUCUGAUCUACCAGGAGGCCUGGUCACAGACCGGGCCGCGGGGGCGUUGACCCCCGGAACUCUUUCCAGGUUGAAUGGUAUUUUUGGUCAGGUGAGUUGCAGCCUUAAUGACCCUCUUCCAGCCGAUACCUGUGAGGCAAUUAGGUUAAGUUAGGCAAGAUAGACGAGGCAACAGAACAGUGUUUCCUGAUGCAGGUCUUAGUCAUAUGACCCACAGCUGGAACUUUUGGUCAUCUGACCGAGGCCUUCCACUGGCUUAUCACUCCACCCCUUGAAACAUUAAUGAAGACCAUUUAAUUUUAUUCCAACUAACAUCUAGUUGUCAGAGCUGGAAGAGUUGUUGAUGCCAGACAACAGUGUGAGCUCACCCGGUACUUGUUAUCCGAUAAGAUUACAAGAUAACCAAGCUAUGAUAACAGGAUUCAGUAGAGUAUAACGUUUUUUUCAACAUGAAAAUAAGUAGGCUGUGGGAAGGUAGUGGAUGCCACAGCUCGUGUGUAUCGCUAAUUACACAAAGUGCGCUCAAACCGUAUGGGUUUAUGGCAGAAAGUUGUGGGAUAAACAAAUUUAUUCAGGUACACAUGAAUACAGUUACAUAAAUUAUCAUACAUAGUAACAAAUAUGUUAAUUACCCCACCAGGACAACCCAAAAAGUCAGUGACUUAUUUCCAUUGGGCUCCUUAUAAUAAGUUAUUAUUUAAAUCUUAAACUUUCAACACGGGGGAUAAAAAUAAGAGAUGAUCGUCCAUGUAGAUUCAAACAAUAAAAUAUCUUAUUCUGGCACUUUCUCCAUAUGCUAUUAUUCUACAUGUUGUAUCACUCGUAGGAGGCCCCGAGAUAUGGUUUCGGGGCGUUGACCCCCAAAACUUUCUCCAGGUAUAAUACACAAGACAGUCACAACUAUAGGAGUACCGACUUGAGGCAUACGAGUCAAACUCCAUAUAUAACUGGUGUUAUAUACCGACAAGGUUAUUAAUAUUGUUUAAUAUGUGGUGUAUGGUAUAUUACAUUGAAGUCUUUUCAACCAUCAGGAAUUUAAGUCAUUUCACAGCCGUUCUCGAGAUGUGAGAAAUUCCAUAUAUUUACCCAAAUUGUCCCAGAACUGCCCUCAAGGGAGGUUCCUUGACGAUGGUGAGGGGCUCUUGAUCACAGGGAAUUAGAUCUGUGCUCCAAUUGCCUGAAUUAAGCGUGAAUACCAUCACACAACCCCCACAGGCACUGUUUAAUCCCUACGGGUUUAGCCCUCCCUAUAAAAAUAAUAAUGUCCCAGAGCUAGAGAAGGGUAGACCUUAUCUCAGUCUUCAAGAGUCGAUAAAACACUCGAUCGUAAUCUGCGUUGUAGCUCCGCGAUUACACCAGUAUCACUACGACCCUUGGUAUAUACACAUACACGUACUUUUCUCCAGGGUAUAUCCCUCGUAUAUACCACAUCAUCACUUUCAGCCUUCCAAGUGUAUUAGCCAAAACAGUGGAGUCUUGUUUGGUGUGUGGUUCAAGUGGUCGGAAGCGACGUUAAGUGAGCAUAAGUAGUGAUCUGGAACCCGUGUGAACCACCGAAUUAUUAACGUAUUCCAAUGGUACCGAACUUUGAGGUGACAGCAACAGCCUGAGUGUUGAGAGAGAAUGGCGUACGGUAAAGGUCAGGGAAGAAUGUCUUACGGCAGAGGUCAAGGCACCAUGGAGGAAUAUUUGGACUUGUUGCAGUAUCUGUUGUACAUCUUCAAUACCAUCUUCUUCGUAAGUACUAUUAAUGGCCUUUCUUGUUGACUAGCAGGGUUAGGUUAGGUUAGGUAAGUUAAAGUAAGGUUGGAUUAGGUUAGGCUAGAUUAGGCAAGGUUGGGUUAGGUUAGGUACCUGGAGUUUACCUGGAGAGAGUUCCGGGGGUCAACGCCCCCGCAGCCCGGUCUGUGACCAGGCGGCCUGGUGGAUCAGAGCCUGAUCAACCAGGCUGUUACUGCUGGCUGCACGCAAUCCAACGUACGAGCCACAGCCCGGCUGGUCAGGUACCAACUUUAGGUGCUUGUCCAGUGCCUGCUUGAAGACAGCCAGGGGUCUAUUGGUAAUCCCCCUUAUGUAUGCUGGGAGGCAGUUGAACAGUCUUGGGCCCCUGACACUUAUUGUAUUGUCUCUUAACGUGCUAGUGACACCCCUGCUUUUCCUUUUGGGGAUGUUGCAUCGUCUG